Molecule: ribosomal RNA, 330 nt
Filed under: uncultured bacterium
Lineage: Bacteria
Description: bacterial SSU rRNA
Rfam family: Bacterial small subunit ribosomal RNA
Source: RNAcentral
UCCGUAGGCGGUGUGGCAAGUCGGUAGUGAAAUCUCUCGGCUUAACUGAGAGGCUGCUGCCGAAACUGCCAUGCUCGAGUGCGAGAGAGGCGAGUGGAAUUACGGGUGUAGCGGUGAAAUGCGUAGAUAUCCGUAGGAACAUCCGAGGCGAAAGCGGCUCGCUGGAUCGCAACUGACGCUGAGGGACGAAAGCUAGGGGAGCAAACAGGAUUAGAUACCCUGGUAGUCCUAGCCCUAAACCAUCAGGACUUGGGGUUUGCCCUGUACGGGGCAAGUCCCGGAGCUAACGCGUUAAGUCCUGCGCCUGGGGAGUACGGUUGCAAGGCUGAA